CCUUCACCCACCCCCUGAGUGCCCAGGCAGGGGGGAAGACACCCUUCACCCACCCCCUGAGUGCCCAGGCAGGGGGGAAGACACCCUUCACCCAACCUCUGAGUGCCCAGACAGGGGGAGAUAUUGAUAUUGAUUAUGUGGGUGCCCAGGGAGGGGUGGGAUAUUGAUAUUGAUUAUGUGGGUGCCCAGGGAGGGGUGGGAUAUUGAUAUUGAUUAUGUGGGUGCCCAG
This is a non-coding RNA of Pelobates cultripes (western spadefoot toad), 229 nucleotides long. The record is from the annotation of a GenBank genome assembly. NCBI's taxonomy places the organism in Eukaryota, Metazoa, Chordata, Amphibia, Anura, Pelobatidae.